UACGAAGGGUGCAACCGUUGCUCGGAAUUAUUGGGCGUAAAGCGCACGUAGGCGGCUUGGCAAGUCGGAUGUGAAAUCCCUCGGCUCAACCAAGGAAGUGCAUCCGAAACUGCUGAGCUUGAGUACUUAAGAGGAUCGCGGAAUUCCCGGUGUAGAGGUGAAAUUCGUAGAUAUCGGGAGGAACACCAGUGGCGAAGGCGGCGACCUGGGAAGAUACUGACGCUGAGGUGCGAAAGCGUGGGGAGCAAACAGG
RNAcentral lists this ribosomal RNA (253 nucleotides) under uncultured bacterium. Its description in RNAcentral is "partial 16S ribosomal RNA". It matches the Rfam family "Bacterial small subunit ribosomal RNA", at positions 524 to 776 of the family's 1533-position model. The record is from RNAcentral.